This 87-nucleotide transfer RNA is filed under the name Truncatella angustata. RNAcentral describes it as "tRNA-Pro". It matches the Rfam family "tRNA". From Rfam's summary of the family: Transfer RNA (tRNA) molecules are approximately 80 nucleotides in length. Lineage: Eukaryota; Fungi; Ascomycota; Sordariomycetes; Amphisphaeriales; Sporocadaceae. The record is from RNAcentral.
GCCCGGAUGGUUUAGUGGUAUAAUUCUCGCUUAGGGUACACCCAAGCAAUUUGCGAGAGGUCCCCGGUUCGAUCCCGGGUUCGGGCC